Passer montanus (Eurasian tree sparrow) is the source of this 871-nucleotide long non-coding RNA. RefSeq lists it as uncharacterized. Lineage: Eukaryota; Metazoa; Chordata; Aves; Passeriformes; Passeridae. The transcript is spliced from 3 exons. The record is from RefSeq and is a predicted model, not a curated record.
CCAAAUUGCAGUGGGAAAAGAACAAUGAAAAUCCAUUUAAUCCUGAGCUGUCACAGGGGCUGGAAAUAAAACACCCUUGCUGUUGUUCAGUGGACUUCCUCUCACAGUAUUCUAGUGGAAUGCUGUUAUCCCAAGGAGUAUCAGAGUGAGAAUCAGCUGUUCAUGUCCUUUUGGCGCACCUGUGAGAUUUUUGUUUGCGUGGAGAAUUGUGCUGUGCUGGGGGGAAUGGACAGAGUCACCCAGAGAUUUAAGGCAGUGAAUGAUGGUGAGCUAGCAACAUCUUCUGAAACAUGCUGAUCACCAAUAUCUGCCAACCUGUGUUCUGAGAGAGGGGGAGAGAGAGCAAGAGAGAAGGUUUUAUACAUGGAAGUAGGAAUACAUCUAUAACAACAUAUAUCAAACUUCUUAAAUGAUAAUACACAGAGUGUUUUAGAUGGUCAAGCCAAUAUUUAAUGGAAAUGUAAGUGAACAUAAUUUGAAGUAUUGUUCUUUUCUGACAUCAUCUCUUUGGUCACUAUGGAUUGGCCACCUGCACUGAGGUAUGUUGUUUAGCCAAAUUGCUCAUUUAGUUUCAUUAUUAUGCAUACAACUUUACUGACAGGGGAGAGAGGAGAUUAUCAGAUCUUUAUGAAAAUCUUGCUCAAAGAAAUUAUAUUUUUCCUUUGAUAAUUUGUCUAUGUGAAUUUCAUGCAGUUAUUUGAUCAAGAAAUGGUAUGAAAGCUUAUAAUCUUAAUCUUUCCUAAUUUACAAGUUACAUUAAUAAAGCAGACGUAAGACUAUCAUGUAGCUUAAUAUAAAAUAAAUAUUUGCAGGUCAUUUACACUGACAGAAUCUUUGGAUAAAAUAAAAAGGAGGCAGAUGCUUGGCUUAU